UAAUUUAGAGCAAAAGCACACUAUAGACAAAAUUAUUUGAUGUUUUUAACCUUAUAUGGUGUACUUUAACUUGGCCUAAGUUCAAUUUAAAUUUCUAGUCUUUGAGCUGUUAAUUUAUUACAUUAAGUGUACAUAUUAGUACCUUUUAGCUUUUGUACCUACACAGGAAAAAUGAGAGAGUACUUUUUUCGGAGUUACCGUCAGUAAUUUUUAUUUAAGUAGGUUUAAAAACGUAGAGGAAAUAUGUUGGAGUAAACCAGCGAGACCACGCCCACUCUACUUUCUUAAGUUUCGUUUCUUCCGCCAUUUUGUUAUCCCGCAGCGGACGGAGGAAGAGAGAGGCUGUGACUGAGGAAAGAUGCAAGCUGUGCUUGAACAUGUCGAACGCCAAAAAAAAAAAAUGUUUUGAAAUUCAGCUGACCUUCAAAUCCUUUUGGGAAUGCGCUGCCAAAAAGUUCAACAUCCC
Oryzias latipes (Japanese medaka) is the source of this 466-nucleotide long non-coding RNA. RefSeq lists it as uncharacterized. Lineage: Eukaryota; Metazoa; Chordata; Actinopteri; Beloniformes; Adrianichthyidae. The record is from RefSeq and is a predicted model, not a curated record.